RNAcentral lists this ribosomal RNA (776 nucleotides) under uncultured bacterium. RNAcentral describes it as "bacterial SSU rRNA". It matches the Rfam family "Bacterial small subunit ribosomal RNA", at positions 8 to 796 of the family's 1533-position model. The record is from RNAcentral.
AGAGUUUGAUCCUGGCUCAGGAUGAACGCUAGCGGCAGGCCUAAUACAUGCAAGUCGAACGGUGUCGCAAGACACAGUGGCGCACGGGUGCGUAACGCGUAUGCAACCUACCUGUAAGCGGGGGAUAGCCCGUCGAAAGACGGAUUAAUACCCCAUAAUAUAAUUGGAUGCAUCAUUUGAUUAUUAAACAUUUAUGGUUUACAGAUGGGCAUGCGUAAGAUUAGCUAGUUGGUGAGGUAGCAGCUCACCAAGGCGAUGAUCUUUAGGGGUUCUGAGAGGAAGAUCCCCCACACUGGUACUGAGAUACGGACCAGACUCCUACGGGAGGCAGCAGUAGGGAAUAUUGGGCAAUGGAGGCAACUCUGACCCAGCCAUGCCGCGUGCAGGAAGAAGGCCUUCUGGGUUGUAAACUGCUUUUGGAAGGGAACAAAACGCCUUGCGAGGCAACUUGAGUGUACCUUCAGAAUAAGCACCGGCUAACUCCGUGCCAGCAGCCGCGGUAAUACGGAGGGUGCAAGCGUUGUCCGGAUUUAUUGGGUUUAAAGGGUGCGUAGGCGGCCUAUUAAGUCAGGGGUGAAAGACUGCAGCUUAACUGUAGCAGUGCCUUUGAUACUGAUGGGCUUGAGUACAGAUGAGGCUGGCGGAAUGGGUGGUGUAGCGGUGAAAUGCAUAGAUACCAUCCAGAACACCGAUUGCGAAGGCAGCCGGCUAAACUGUAACUGACGCUGAGGCACGAAAGCGUGGGGAUCGAACAGGAUUAGAUACCCUAGUAGUCC